Molecule: transfer RNA, 63 nt
Filed under: Lucifotychus sp. 1 EF-2015
Lineage: Eukaryota; Metazoa; Arthropoda; Insecta; Coleoptera; Staphylinidae
Description: tRNA-His
Source: RNAcentral
AUUUAAAUAAUUUAAUUAAAAUAUUGAUUUGUGGGGUCAAAAAUAUGGGUUUCAUUUUAAGUA